UUAAGUUCAGCGGGUAGUCCUACCUGAUUUGAGAUCAAACGUUCAAAAAGCUGUCCUCCCCAAGGAGAGACAUCUGUGAGCCCCAGCGAACCUCCAUCGCUGAAGGUUACAUGGCAGAAGACCACAAGCGUAGAUAGUUAUCACACCUGUGACGCCACCAAACACUGGCAAGCUGAUCCAUUUGAGAGGAGCCGACGCUA
RNAcentral lists this unclassified non-coding RNA (200 nucleotides) under Tomentella sp. Its description in RNAcentral is "partial internal transcribed spacer 2". Lineage: Eukaryota; Fungi; Basidiomycota; Agaricomycetes; Thelephorales; Thelephoraceae. The record is from RNAcentral.